RNAcentral lists this ribosomal RNA (982 nucleotides) under Bacillus sp. (in: firmicutes). RNAcentral describes it as "bacterial SSU rRNA". It matches the Rfam family "Bacterial small subunit ribosomal RNA", at positions 79 to 1039 of the family's 1533-position model. Lineage: Bacteria; Bacillati; Bacillota; Bacilli; Caryophanales; Bacillaceae. The record is from RNAcentral.
UGCUUCUAUGACGUUAGCGGCGGACGGGUGAGUAACACGUGGGCAACCUGCCUGUAAGACUGGGAUAACUUCGGGAAACCGAAGCUAAUACCGGAUAGGAUCUUCUCCUUCAUGGGAGAUGAUUGAAAGAUGGUUUCGGCUAUCACUUACAGAUGGGCCCGCGGUGCAUUAGCUAGUUGGUGAGGUAACGGCUCACCAAGGCAACGAUGCAUAGCCGACCUGAGAGGGUGAUCGGCCACACUGGGACUGAGACACGGCCCAGACUCCUACGGGAGGCAGCAGUAGGGAAUCUUCCGCAAUGGACGAAAGUCUGACGGAGCAACGCCGCGUGAGUGAUGAAGGCUUUCGGGUCGUAAAACUCUGUUGUUAGGGAAGAACAAGUACGAGAGUAACUGCUCGUACCUUGACGGUACCUAACCAGAAAGCCACGGCUAACUACGUGCCAGCAGCCGCGGUAAUACGUAGGUGGCAAGCGUUAUCCGGAAUUAUUGGGCGUAAAGCGCGCGCAGGCGGUUUCUUAAGUCUGAUGUGAAAGCCCACGGCUCAACCGUGGAGGGUCAUUGGAAACUGGGGAACUUGAGUGCAGAAGAGAAAAGCGGAAUUCCACGUGUAGCGGUGAAAUGCGUAGAGAUGUGGAGGAACACCAGUGGCGAAGGCGGCUUUUUGGUCUGUAACUGACGCUGAGGCGCGAAAGCGUGGGGAGCAAACAGGAUUAGAUACCCUGGUAGUCCACGCCGUAAACGAUGAGUGCUAAGUGUUAGAGGGUUUCCGCCCUUUAGUGCUGCAGCUAACGCAUUAAGCACUCCGCCUGGGGGAGUACGGUCGCAAGACUGAAACUCAAAGGAAUUGACGGGGGCCCGCACAAGCGGUGGAAGCAUGUGGGUUUAAUUCGAAGCAACGCGAAGAACCUUACCAGGUCUUGACAUCCUCUGACAACUCUAGAAGAUAGAGCGUUCCCCCUUCGGGGGACAGAGUGACAGGU